Molecule: transfer RNA, 75 nt
Filed under: Candidatus Doolittlea endobia
Lineage: Bacteria; Pseudomonadati; Pseudomonadota; Gammaproteobacteria; Enterobacterales; Enterobacteriaceae
Description: tRNA-Arg
Rfam family: tRNA
About the family: Transfer RNA (tRNA) molecules are approximately 80 nucleotides in length. Their secondary structure includes four short double-helical elements and three loops (D, anti-codon, and T loops).
Source: RNAcentral
GCGCCCUUAGCUCAGUUGGAUAGAGCAAUGGCCUUCUAAGCCAUAGGUCGUAGGUUCGAAUCCUACAGGGCGCGC